AGGUGCGAUCAUACCAGCACUAAUGCACCGGAUCCCAUCAGAACUCCGCAGUCAAGCGUGCUUGGUCGAGAGUAGUACUAGGAUGGGUGACCUCCUGGGAAGUCCUCGUGUUGCACUUC
Molecule: ribosomal RNA, 119 nt
Filed under: Phaseolus vulgaris (common bean)
Lineage: Eukaryota; Viridiplantae; Streptophyta; Magnoliopsida; Fabales; Fabaceae
Source: RNAcentral